This 222-nucleotide unclassified non-coding RNA is filed under the name uncultured Tomentella. Its description in RNAcentral is "partial internal transcribed spacer 2". Lineage: Eukaryota; Fungi; Basidiomycota; Agaricomycetes; Thelephorales; Thelephoraceae. The record is from RNAcentral.
ACACCUCAACUCUUCAUGGUUUUCCAUGAUGAGCUUGGACUUUGGGGGUCUUGCUGGCCUGCGGUCAGCUCCUCUCAAAUGAAUCAGCUUGCCAGUGUUUGGUGGGUUUCACAGGUGUGAUAACUAUCUACACUUGUGGUUUUCCACCAGGUAACCUUCAGCAGUGGAGGUUCGCUGGAGCUCACAGAUGUGUCUCUCCUCAGUGAGGACAGCCCUUUGAAU